GGAGGUAGUGACAAUAAAUCUCAAUACGAAGCCUUUGGUUUUGUAAUUGAAUUGAGAACAAUGUACAAUCGUUAUCGAUAAACAAUUGGAGGGCAAGUCUGGUGCCAGCAGCCGCGGUAAUUCCAGCUCCAAUAGCGUAUAUUAACGUUGUUGCAGUUAAAAAGCUCGUAGUUGAAGUUUAGAUGGUUUGUUGGGGGUGUAAGUAUCAAUGGUAUUUACGGCUCUCUACGAAUUGUCGACUUCCAGGUAAGCUCAUCUCUCCCUCCGGGGACUCAUGAGCGAGACUGGUCAUUUACUGUGAGAAAAUUAGAGUGUUUAAAGCAGACUUAUUGAAAGUUUGAAUAGAUUAGCAUGGAAUAAUAAGAUUGGCUUUCAUAGUCGAUUUUUUGGUUUGUUUAUGAAAGCAAGAUUAAUAGGGACAGUUGGGGGUAUUCAUAUUCAAUAGCUAGAGGUGAAAUUCUAUGAUUUAUGGAAGAUGAACAAGUGCGAAAGCA
Molecule: ribosomal RNA, 494 nt
Filed under: Blastocystis sp.
Lineage: Eukaryota; Bigyra; Opalinata; Blastocystidae
Description: SSU rRNA
Rfam family: Eukaryotic small subunit ribosomal RNA
Source: RNAcentral